RNAcentral lists this ribosomal RNA (506 nucleotides) under uncultured Bacillota bacterium. RNAcentral's name for it is "bacterial SSU rRNA". It matches the Rfam family "Bacterial small subunit ribosomal RNA", at positions 355 to 851 of the family's 1533-position model. Lineage: Bacteria; Bacillati; Bacillota. The record is from RNAcentral.
UAGGGAAUCUUCCGCAAUGGACGAAAGUCUGACGGAGCAACGCCGCGUGAGCGAUGAAGGCCUUCGGGUCGUAAAGCUCUGUUGUCAGGGAAGAACAAGUACCGGAGUAACUGCCGGUACCUUGACGGUACCUGACCAGAAAGCCACGGCUAACUACGUGCCAGCAGCCGCGGUAAUACGUAGGUGGCAAGCGUUGUCCGGAAUUAUUGGGCGUAAAGCGCGCGCAGGCGGUUCCUUAAGUCUGAUGUGAAAGCCCCCGGCUCAACCGGGGAGGGUCAUUGGAAACUGGGGAACUUGAGUGCAGAAGAGGAGAGCGGAAUUCCACGUGUAGCGGUGAAAUGCGUAGAGAUGUGGAGGAACACCAGUGGCGAAGGCGGCUCUCUGGUCUGUAACUGACGCUGAGGCGCGAAAGCGUGGGGAGCGAACAGGAUUAGAUACCCUGGUAGUCCACGCCGUAAACGAUGAGUGCUAAGGUGUUAGAGGGUUUCCGCCCUUUAGUGCUGCAG